Molecule: long non-coding RNA, 305 nt
Filed under: Capsella rubella
Lineage: Eukaryota; Viridiplantae; Streptophyta; Magnoliopsida; Brassicales; Brassicaceae
Description: long non-coding RNA (CRUB_LNC003065)
Source: RNAcentral
CUAAACAUUCAGAGGAACAAGCAUUGCUCAAGAAAAUAGGAGUGAUAAGACGAUUGUGUGUGUGGAUCGAAAACCAUAGAGACCAUUGUGAGUAUCUUGAAGAGGUUUGUUUUCUCAAAAAUAGUACCAAUGUCAGUCCCCUAACAAAAAAAAUUAAAAAAAAAACGAAAAUGGCGGUCGUACCAGGACUGUCCUUCUUCUCUUUCUUCACUAAUCGCGGACUCCACUGACACAUGACGGCCUGCGAUUAGUUGCUUUUCUGUUGUUUUUUAAAGAAAAAUCUUUAAAAAAAAAUUAGUUUGUUU